UGCUUGUGUGUUUAAAUGGGUGUGGUGCUAAGUAUAUCUUGUUUACCUUAUCUGUGGAAAAGUUUUGAAGUCUGGUUAGGUUUGUCACAUCAUGCCUGUUGCCUAGCGCUAUGAAAAGUGUUCUUAUCUAGCAGAAAAGAUUGGAUAGGUGGAGGUCGUGGCUUGGC
Molecule: non-coding RNA, 167 nt
Organism: Callithrix jacchus (white-tufted-ear marmoset)
Lineage: Eukaryota; Metazoa; Chordata; Mammalia; Primates; Cebidae
Source: Rfam